UUGCGAUCCCGGAGUCCGUCGUUGUUUUAUUCCACCGCUUCCGCCACCUUGAAUAAAUUGUUGAGCUCCACUCUGAGUCUUAACGUGUAGUAGUACUCGUCAUGUCACAUUACUCUGAUGUGACGUGCCCCUUUAUUUUUCGCGAGCAGUAGAGUCACCCUAAGACCACUGUAACAUUUCGUUGUAAUACUUUGUAGAAGCGACCCUCGCUCUACUUGUAAU
RNAcentral lists this long non-coding RNA (222 nucleotides) under Hordeum vulgare. Its description in RNAcentral is "long non-coding RNA (HVUL_LNC018222)". Lineage: Eukaryota; Viridiplantae; Streptophyta; Magnoliopsida; Poales; Poaceae. The record is from RNAcentral.